GAGGAUUCACAUGCAGACAAAUGUGUGCACCUCACAUGGGAGGUCAUCAGUGGGGGUCAGGUGAAUACGGUCAUGAAAUAACCUCAAUGUGGGUGCUCACUGCUCCCUUCCAGGUCCUGGAUUUUGUGAUGUGGGGAGCGUGAGCUGUCAAGCAUUCUGUAUUAACUGGAGUCUGAUGCUGACUGCACAGCUGUCCCCUGUCCCACAGACACCCCACCUGCUUGAGAGAUCUGCACCUCCUGCCAGUUCAAUCCCCACACACAGGCUCUAAGAUCAGGCACCCCUGGACACCAAACCUGGAUUCACUAUUUGCCACUUUAAUCCUUACAAUGGCAAUGACAGCAUGGAUUUCGUAAAUUAUUAUAAGAGGACAUCACAAAGAGCCUAAUGAGGUUAUCAUGAAAAUAUCCUCACUGCAUUGCUGAGAAUAGUGAAAACUGAGAAGCGACUUACAUGUCCAAAGAAGUGUGGCUAGUUAUGACAUAUCUGUGUACUCAAGAUGAUACAGACAGAAUUUGGUGAAG
This 524-nucleotide long non-coding RNA is filed under the name Pan troglodytes (chimpanzee). RNAcentral describes it as "long non-coding RNA NONPTRT011198". The record is from RNAcentral. Lineage: Eukaryota; Metazoa; Chordata; Mammalia; Primates; Hominidae.